RNAcentral lists this long non-coding RNA (811 nucleotides) under Homo sapiens (human). RNAcentral's name for it is "HSALNT0349047". The record is from RNAcentral. Lineage: Eukaryota; Metazoa; Chordata; Mammalia; Primates; Hominidae.
AAAGACUCCAUUCAGAUAUUUUGUCAGCUACAGGCUUCAGUGGCAAAUGGCAAGACAACUAGCAUCACCAGCUGGAGGAAGGAUGUUGUCCUAGAGCUGGUCACAGCAUGGAGCCUCAGGACCCGGGCCCUUCCCAUUAACUGAAGGCAGAAGUCCGCAGAAGGCCGCAGAACUCCGCAGAAGGCCGCAGAACUCCGCAGAAGGCCGCAGAACUCCGCAGAAGUCCGCACACAGUAAGGAAGUUGCCUCCGCGUCCAGCCCGCUGAUUGAGCAGGCCGAGAGCCAAUGCGCAAAGAAGGUCCGUUUCCGUUUGUUUUCCUCAUACUUUUCCUUCUUUCUGACCAGUAAGCCACAGAGUUAUGGAAAAGGCUGGGGAAGAAUCUGUGGCCGAGUCCUUCUUCCCACAGGUCCACUAAUUAUGGAGAACCAAAGUUUUUUCUUAAAACUGACGGGACAAUCGAUGAACCUGACCACUGCAGACAUGGACUUCCCUAAACUUCAAUCUGUGGAGAGAGGCCUCAGAGUCUUCACUCGCUAUUUCAUUUUCAGGCUCCUUCCAGCAAAAUAAAAGUAAAAACAACAGCUAUUUGAUGGCUCAUUGCCUUUGUUUCCCUGGUAGAUCCUCAGGGACGUUCCAAGGACAUUCUACUUUGAGUGUCAUAGAAAAAGCACCAGAAUCACAGUCUGAUAUCUUAAGAGUGACAAGAGACCAGCAUUCAAGACUUAGCUUCUGAUAAUGGUAUGUAUGGAUAAAGCCACUUGCUUCCUGCAUGACAAUGGCCAGGUUCUUUUACCUCUCUGUGUCUAAAUU